This 408-nucleotide unclassified non-coding RNA is filed under the name Hevea brasiliensis (rubber tree). The record is from RNAcentral. Lineage: Eukaryota; Viridiplantae; Streptophyta; Magnoliopsida; Malpighiales; Euphorbiaceae.
AAUUGGCACCAUCUUGUGGUCCAACAUUGAUUACAAUAUACUUUUGUAUCUAUAUGACCUGGUAAACUCCAAUUAAUAUUUUGCCAAAACAUUUCAAUAUGGCAACAUCAACAAUUUUUUUCCAGUGAAAAUAUAUUUUACAAAAGAUAUAUUUAUUAUAUUUCUCUUAAGCAACUUUGACUUUUUUUUGUUUUCUAUUUUACAUUUCAGUUGAUACCUAAAUCUACCAUCAAUUCCCAUUGAUGUAAGACCUAGGUGUCAAUUCACUGUCUGAUGAUGACUCGGAGAAGCUAUAACGGAUACCUAGACUAACUGGCGCAGCAUUUUGCCAAUUGCUGUAACCCGGAUUUGCAAGAUUGCUGGGUUGGUAUUGGUCCCCCAUCUCAAUGUAUCUAUGAUCAGAUGAAU